AUCACCGACAGCAAGCUGCCCGACAUGCAGGCGGGGUGGGAGCAGGGUAUCACCAAUACGCUCGCGGGUCUGUCCGGGCUGAACAUGUGCUAUGAGGCGG
This is a non-coding RNA of Rhodobacterales bacterium 65-51, 100 nucleotides long. The record is from Rfam. Lineage: Bacteria; Pseudomonadati; Pseudomonadota; Alphaproteobacteria; Rhodobacterales.